GAUGAACGCUGGCGGCGUGCCUAAUACAUGCAAGUCGAGCGAACGGACGAGAAGCUUGCUUCUCUGAUGUUAGCGGCGGACGGGUGAGUAACGCGUGGAUAACCUACCUAUAAUACUGGUAUAACUUCGGGAAACCGGAGAUAAUACCGGAUAAUAUUUUGAACCGCAUGGUUCAAAAGUGAAAGACGGUCUUGCUGUCACUUAUAGAUGGAUCCGCGCUGCAUUGGCUAGUUGGUAAGGUAACGGCUUACCAAGGCAACGAUGCCUAGCCGACGUGAGAGGGUGAUAGGCCACACGGGAGCUGAGACACGGUCCUGACUCCUACGGGAGGGCGCAGUAGGGAAUGGUCCGCAAUGGGCGAAAGUCUGACGGAGCGACGGCGCGUGAGUGAUGAAGGUCUUCGGAUCGUAAAACUCUGUUAUUGGGGAAAAACAGAUGUGGACGGAACCGUGCACUGAGUGACGGUACCUAGUAAGAAAGCAACGGCUAACUACGUG
RNAcentral lists this ribosomal RNA (497 nucleotides) under uncultured bacterium. Its description in RNAcentral is "partial 16S ribosomal RNA". It matches the Rfam family "Bacterial small subunit ribosomal RNA", at positions 28 to 507 of the family's 1533-position model. The record is from RNAcentral.